RNAcentral lists this ribosomal RNA (403 nucleotides) under Verrucomicrobiota bacterium. RNAcentral's name for it is "Verrucomicrobia bacterium partial 16S ribosomal RNA". It matches the Rfam family "Bacterial small subunit ribosomal RNA", at positions 355 to 776 of the family's 1533-position model. Lineage: Bacteria; Pseudomonadati; Verrucomicrobiota. The record is from RNAcentral.
UGGGGAAUAUUGCACAAUGGGCGCAAGCCUGAUGCAGCAACGCCGCGUGAACGAUGAAGGUCUUCGGAUCGUAAAGUUCUGUUGCAGGGGAAGAUAAUGACGGUACCCUGUGAGGAAGCCCCGGCUAAAUACGUGCCAGCAGCCGCGGUAAUACGUAUGGGGCGAGCGUUGUCCGGAAUUAUUGGGCGUAAAGGGUACGUAGGCGGUUUUUUAAGUCAGGUGUCAAAGCGUGGAGCUUAACUCCAUUAAGCACUUGAAACUGAAAGACUUGAGUGAAGGAGAGGAAAGUGGAAUUCCUAGUGUAGCGGUGAAAUGCGUAGAUAUUAGGAGGAAUACCGGUGGCGAAGGCGACUUUCUGGACUUUUACUGACGCUCAGGUGCGAAAGCGUGGGGAGCAAACAGG